AGUGAACGCUGGCGGUAGGCCUAACACAUGCAAGUCGAACGGCAGCACAGUAAGAGCUUGCUCCUACGGGUGGCGAGUGGCGGACGGGUGAGGAAUACAUCGGAAUCUACUUUUUCGUGGGGGAUAACGUAGGGAAACUUACGCUAAUACCGCAUACGACCUACGGGUGAAAGCAGGGGAUCUUCGGACCUUGCGCGAUUGAAUGAGCCGAUGUCGGAUUAGCUAGUUGGCGGGGUAAAGGCCCACCAAGGCGACGAUCCGUAGCUGGUCUGAGAGGAUGAUCAGCCACACUGGAACUGAGACACGGUCCAGACUCCUACGGGAGGCAGCAGUGGGGAAUAUUGGACAAUGGGCGCAAGCCUGAUCCAGCCAUACCGCGUGGGUGAAGAAGGCCUUCGGGUUGUAAGGCCCUUUUGUUGGGAAAGAAAAGCAGCAGGUUAAUACCCCGCUGUUCUGACGGUACCCAAAGAAUAAGCACCGGCUAACUUCGUG
RNAcentral lists this ribosomal RNA (492 nucleotides) under uncultured bacterium. RNAcentral describes it as "partial 16S ribosomal RNA". It matches the Rfam family "Bacterial small subunit ribosomal RNA", at positions 29 to 507 of the family's 1533-position model. The record is from RNAcentral.